UAAGACGAACCGUGCGAACGUUGUUCGGAUUCACUGGGCUUAAAGGGCGCGUAGGCGGGCCGGCGCGUCAGAGGUGAAAGCCCCCGGCUCAACCGGGGAAGGGCCUCUGAUACCGCCGGUCUCGAGGGAGGUAGGGGCGGCUGGAACUUCCGGUGGAGCGGUGAAAUGCGUAGAUAUCGGAAGGAACGCCGGUGGCGAAAGCGAGCCGCUGGACCUCAUCUGACGCUGAGGCGCGAAAGCCAGGGGAGCGAACGGGAUUAGAUACCCCGGUAGUCCUGGCCCUAAACGAUGGGUACCAGGCUGGGGGCCGGCAUGGGCCCCCGGCCGAGGCAAAAGUGUUAAGUACCCCGCCUGGGGAGUAUGGCCGCAAGGCUG
This 375-nucleotide ribosomal RNA is filed under the name uncultured bacterium. Its description in RNAcentral is "bacterial SSU rRNA". It matches the Rfam family "Bacterial small subunit ribosomal RNA", at positions 521 to 896 of the family's 1533-position model. The record is from RNAcentral.